Molecule: ribosomal RNA, 503 nt
Filed under: Bactrocera halfordiae
Lineage: Eukaryota; Metazoa; Arthropoda; Insecta; Diptera; Tephritidae
Description: partial large subunit ribosomal RNA
Rfam family: Bacterial large subunit ribosomal RNA
Source: RNAcentral
CCUGUUUAACAAAAACAUGUCUUUUUGAGUUAUUUUUAAAGUCUGACCUGCCCACUGAAAUUAUUUAAAUGGCCGCAGUAUUCUAACUGUGCAAAGGUAGCAUAAUCAUUAGUCUUUUAAUUGAAGGCUGGUAUGAACGGUUGGACGAGGUAUAAGCUGUUUCAUAUAAAUUUAUAAUAGAAUUUUAUAUUUUAGUCAAAAAGCUAAAAUUUAAUUAAAAGACGAGAAGACCCUAUAAAUCUUUAUACUUUAUGUUAUUUAAAUUUUUUAGAUUAAUUUUAUUUUUAUAAUUUAAAGUAUUUUGUUGGGGUGAUAUUAAAAUUUAAUGAACUUUUAAUUGUUAAAAAUCAUUAAUUUAUGAGUUAUUGAUCCAUUAAUAGUGAUUAUAAGAUUAAGUUACUUUAGGGAUAACAGCGUAAUUUUUUUGGAGAGUUCAUAUCGAUAAAAAAGGUUGCGACCUCGAUGUUGGAUUAAGAUAUAUUUUUAGGUGUAGCCGCUUAAAU